GGAACAGCUUAUUGAUAUUGUAUAUGCUAACAUUUGGAUGUGGAGUGGGACAGGAGAGACAGCGUUUAACUGCUGGUAUGCGAUGCUGAAACUGGGCUGCUUGAAGAGGUUUUCAUUUACUGAUGUUGGACUCGUGCCCAGACUGCCAUAGUAGAAUUUAGGGAGAAACUCAGAAAGGAGUAGAACCACAGAACGGUUUGGAGGAACAUCCAUGUGGAGCAGAAGAAUAAAUACGUAUGAAGACUGUGCUUCAAGAAAUGAAGGGACUGGCCACUGGGGAACAGUUUUAAGCCCCCCCAAAUCUCUCCCUGACCCUCUCCAUUUGCACUUGAAGCAGCAGCAUCUUCAAUGACAGCCAGAAAGGAACUAGAUGGAAGGAAAUACCACUCAGUCUUUUCUACUGGUAAUCAAGAACACUUGACUCAAUGAAAGAAUUAGAAAUUUGGAAGAAUCUUUGGGAAGUGUUAUAUCUGGGAGAAGAGGGAACCAGCAUAUAAAUCAUAUAAAAUAGGAUUUUCAAGCUUUUGGGGUUACUUCUAUUCAGAAUGAAGACCCAUAAAGUUCUAUCUGAAUACAAAUCAUUACUGAGUUCUCUGAGAAUUUCAAGUGGGUCGGAG
This is a long non-coding RNA of Sciurus carolinensis (gray squirrel), 617 nucleotides long. RefSeq lists it as uncharacterized. Lineage: Eukaryota; Metazoa; Chordata; Mammalia; Rodentia; Sciuridae. The record is from RefSeq and is a predicted model, not a curated record. The transcript is spliced from 3 exons.